Molecule: ribosomal RNA, 497 nt
Filed under: uncultured bacterium
Lineage: Bacteria
Description: partial 16S ribosomal RNA
Rfam family: Bacterial small subunit ribosomal RNA
Source: RNAcentral
GAUGAACGCUGGCGGCGUGCCUAAUACAUGCAAGUCGAGCGAACAGACGCGGAGCUUGCUCCUCUGACGUUAGCGGCGGACGGGUGAGUAACACGUGGAUAACCUACCUAUCAGACUGGGAUAACUUCGGGAAACCGGAGCUAAUACCGGAUAAUAUAUUGAACCGCAUGGUUCAAUAGUGAAAGACGGUUUUGCUGUCACUUCUAGAUGGAUCCGCGCCGCAUUAGCUAGUUGGUAAGGUAACGGCUUACCAAGGUAACGAUGCGUAGCCGACCUGAGAGGGUGAUCGGCCACACUGGAACUGAGACACGGUCCAGACUCCUACGGGAGGCAGCAGUAGGGAAUCUUCCGCAAUGGGCGAAAGCCUGACGGAGCAACGCCGCGUGAGUGAUGAAGGUCUUCGGAUCGUAAAACUCUGUUAUUAGGGAAGAACAAAUGUGUAAGUAACUAUGCACGUCUUGACGGUACCUAAUCAGAAAGCCACGGCUAACUACGUG